GGUUUUUACCAUUGAACAACUUUAAAUGUCCGUCUCCACCCUCCAUUUUGUUUAGGUGUAUUCUAUUGUUGUCAAACCUUUGACUUCUUCCCUUCAGUCCCGUCACUGAAACUUGCCUUUGCGUCAGAGUGUAGAGGAUGUGAGUGACUCAGUUCAUGUUGGGGCUUUUACCGUCUAAAUGUUUAUUAGUAAAAUAUACAAGAACCCAUUGUACAGUUUAUAUCAAAUGUGGGUAAACAUAUAAAAAAGUGUUGUGACGUGUAAAUGUUCAGCUCCAGUAUUUUCUUAUCAACAGGGAUUUAGAAUCUCUACCUCAGCGCCAUCUUGUGUCGAUGUCAUCACUGUGCAACGUGUGUGGUGGCAUUUUAAUUGGCUUUUGAAAGAUGCAGAGGCGAAGUACUUCCAGCAGAUGGCAGCAUUUCCUACGGUGGUGGAGCUGCUCCUGCACAAAGGCGCAUACACUAGUUUAGUAUACUUUCCGUGACAUGGUACAUUUCGAUCUUUUUGGAAUGUUCCACUUGCUUUGUCGGAGGCGGAGCUUCUUCUACGCAGAGAAGGACGAGGAGCAGCGGGAGCAAACACGUGCUCAAGAAGUUGUGUCCAGCUGUGUGUGAAUGAGCCACCUCUCUAGCUUCAUCAUUAAGAUGCAAAUCUACAAUAUAUCCUCCUACCAGGAGGGACUGACGAUUACUCGAAGACAUCGCCUUCCUGAGAUGUUAGGAGGCGAGACUCCCCGUGAUGCAAUGUGAAGAAGGAUUUUGGAUUCAGUCCUUUCUGUUCC
This is a long non-coding RNA of Solea solea (common sole), 781 nucleotides long. RefSeq lists it as uncharacterized. The transcript is spliced from 5 exons. The record is from RefSeq and is a predicted model, not a curated record. Lineage: Eukaryota; Metazoa; Chordata; Actinopteri; Pleuronectiformes; Soleidae.